GGAAGAGAGGGCGUCUUGGCAACAAAGCACAGCACUUAGAGAGGAGCCUCCAGGAGAGCCUUGGUCCAGCCUCUUGCCUUAGGGAAUUAUCUGAAUAUACCCGUUUGCUGAGGGGUGAUGCCCAAGGAGGCUCCAGCCAGGCACACUGACACAGCACGUGUCUGGGGGACAAGAAGGUGAGGUGCUGCGCAAGAGGACCCCGGAGGGCUUCCCGAGGGGGACGUGAGAAGACAGCACUUACCCUGACGCCUUGCCAUAGGUCUCUGUCUAGGUCGGAGGGAGUAUCCUGCGUCAGUGCUCUUGGCCACGACAACCUCGAAAGGCAGCGCUACUGCUCCCACUCUGCUCAUGAGGGUCUUGAGAGCCUCAGGACUCCCCUUGGCCACACACGGCUGCUUAAGGGCUGAGUCUGACUCUCCACCUUCUAUUGCACAACGCCUCAUGUGGGAUGUGAAGCAUUUCCCCCAACCACUUGGACGCUUAAAAUAAAACCCACUCGGGGCGCCUGGGUGGCUCAGUUGGUUAAGCAACUGCCUUCAGCUCCGGUCAUGGUCCCAGGGUCCUGGGAUC
This is a long non-coding RNA of Zalophus californianus (California sea lion), 570 nucleotides long. RefSeq lists it as uncharacterized. NCBI's taxonomy places the organism in Eukaryota, Metazoa, Chordata, Mammalia, Carnivora, Otariidae. The transcript is spliced from 3 exons. The record is from RefSeq and is a predicted model, not a curated record.